GAUGAACGCUGGCGGCGUGCCUAAUACAUGCAAGUCGAGCGAAGCGGGGACGGGUGAGUAACACGUGGAUAACCUCCUAUAAGACUGGGAUAACUUCGGGAAACCGGAGCCAAACCGGCUUCAUAUAGAUGGAUUCGCUCUGCAUUAGCUAGUUGGGAAGCUAACGGCUUACCAAGGCAACGAUGCAUAGCCGACCUGAGAGGGUGACCGGCCACACUGGAACUGAGACACGGUCCAGACUCCUACGGGAGGCAGCAGUAGGGAAUCUUCCGCAAUGGGCGAAAGCCUGACGGAGCAACGCCGCGUGAGUGAAGAAGGUCUUCGGAUCGUAAAGCUCUGUUAUUGGGGAAGCGGUACCUAAUCAGAAAGCCACGGCUAACUACGUGCCAGCCGCCGCGGUAAUUC
RNAcentral lists this ribosomal RNA (405 nucleotides) under uncultured bacterium. Its description in RNAcentral is "partial 16S ribosomal RNA". It matches the Rfam family "Bacterial small subunit ribosomal RNA", at positions 28 to 526 of the family's 1533-position model. The record is from RNAcentral.